AAAGAAAUGGAGAUGGAGUGGAUGCAUAUUUCGGGGGACAGAACCAGCUUCAGUCCUGACAGUCCAAGCUCUGGAGUUGCUGUUGGUCUCUGCCUUCCCUGUAGGCUUGCUGCUGGGGCCCACCUCCUCAAGGAAGCAAUGUGGCUGGCCACAAACUCAGGAUCCCUCUGGCUGUCUCUCGUGAAGUGAAUAUGAGGAGCUGACCAGGGAAGCAGGAAACAAAUGAACAGCACUCUAGCUCCCUCCACACAUCAGCAGGAUGACUGUCUGUGUAACUCAUUCUACUAACCAUGUAAACCCACUGGGGAAAAAAGCCAUCUUUUCUGAGAGCAGAAAAGUCCCAAGGAGAAAUUGGAUUGAUUCAACUUUGCCACCUUUCACCUUUCUUUGUGGUCAAGAAUAUGUGAUGCCAUGAUGGCAUAGACCCUGCACAUCUACUUCUGUCUGUGGAUUUUUGGGAAAGGUCUGUGUUAAACAAAAUGCAGAGAACUGGCUUUCUGAAGAAUGUCAGAUUUCUAUACACUGACAGGUAAAAAUGGGCAGGGCUAUCUGAACCUUAACAUACAUCAAGAAAGGGGUGGGUGCAGAGCGAGUAGAGCCAAUAGACACCAACCACAAUCAGCGUGACUGUCUUCUGCAAAGGAAGACUGGUAGACCAAGUGUCAUGAUUCUGGAUCUUCAACUUAGAAGCACAAGCAGGAUAAAAUAAAUCCUUUCUGUGUAUGUCUUUUGUAAUUUUUAUUCUACCUUCAGAAACCUUUGGACUUAAAUCUUGACACUGCCUAAUGCCUUAUAAGCACAGUUCCCUAAAGUGGUGAUCAGUUCACAGGUAAGAAGUAAGGAAAUAAAUGAUCAUGCCUUGAGAAAAGUUUGCCAGAGUUGCAUUAAUUUAUAAACAACCAACCAAUUAAACAAUAUAGUAGUACCUCUGACUUAACUCAGUAGCUCCGGUUUGUACUGGGGAAGGUGGCGGGGCUCUUCACUUCUAGCGGGCACAGGUAGCCAUUUUGCUGGUUAACCAUGGGGAAAAGAAACAGAAGGCAGAAUGAAUGAAAGAUUCUCCAGCAAGCUGUGAUGAUCAGACUUUCUCCAGCUGUGACGCCUGUGAGAUUAAAGGACAGAAUAGAGCUUGAUCCCCACUCAAGAGCACUUAACAGUGUGUAUGCUCACAGGUGGUUAGAAUUGGAAGGAUUUGGGGGCAUUCCUUAAUCCAAUGCUUUACAGAUAAGGAAAGUGAGAUUUAGGGAGGACAAAUGCUGAGGUCUAGAUUAUGCUACAAAGGAAGAGCUGAACCAGAACUCAAGCCUGAUAUUUCUUACGCCCCAAAUGUCCAUCACUGUGUGGUAAGUUCCCUUUGGUUUUGUACUCAAAGAUUUUGUUAAAAUUUUUUGAGUUACAGAAAUUUUCCAUUAGGAAAUUGCAUUUAAUUUAAACUUUACAAGAAGUACAGAGAAAAGAAAUAAGUAGCCAUUUCAAUACUUUAGAACCAAUGCCCUGCAAAGAAAGAGAGGAUAGCCUGCAGUUUCUCAAACCCAGAAAAAUCAAACUAUAAUUUAUGAGUCCUUGAAAGAGGUGAGAAGAUAUAAAUUACGCUUACUUUCUUUACUUACGUUUGGUUAAUACAAGGGGAUUUGGGAAUUAAAAUUCUACCUGGAUCUGGGUCUUGAUGGGCAAUUUUAGACAAGAUACACUCUAGACUUUAAUUUCCUCAUUUUCAAUUUAGUUCGUUGUUAAGACUUUGGCCACCCUUAGGCUUCAGAGAUUCUAAAACCAGAUCUAUUCUGAGUGCCAUAAUGAAGGAAGGAAUCUCGGUAGAGGGGCUCUGCAUAAAACCUGCUGCAUACGCAAGGCAAAUGCCUCCCCUACUAACAUGGCAAAAACGAGCACAGGCCCAGGGUCAAGAUGCUUUGUUUCCCUUCAUGCCUUGACCUUGAGGACAAUUCUUUUACUUUCUCUAGGUCUUAAAAUUAAUCUAAAAAGAGAGCCACACCUGCUCAUGUUUGCGUCAGAGAGCUAUGGCAGAAGACAAAGGAAGUCGAAGUGCCUUGUCAUAUGCAGACUCAGGCAAUAUAGACUUAGUCCUUGAUGACCAGAACAAUGUAAAAAGAAUAUGUGGAGUCGCUCACAAGUGGCUAAUAUGACACUUUUUCACUGAAUUUUCUUUUUCUCAAGAUUUUGUUUCCUCUAUAAUAGUGCAUGUUGAAGCAGUGCUCGAUCAGAUGUGUACACCCACCUUCCCGGAACAGUCCCAUCAGUAACAGCCAUCGUGGUAUAAUUGCUACUAAUACAAAUUUUUGUUCUUAAAGGAGUUUCUGUCUGGCAAUAAAUUAAACCGUUAUCCUAAACAUAAAUCUCAUUCUGUCUGAACUCUUCGUUUUAUUUUUGGGAAAUGACGACUCACAGAAGAAAAAUGACUUCUAAAUUCACUCCAUCUGCCCAGAGCCCAGACUGGCAAACCCCUUCUCUUUGUACCUGGGAAGGAAGGAGAGGGGAUAAAAGGAGAGAAUGGCUCCUUUGUUUGCUAUGAAUUUCCUUGAAACAACUCCUCAGCAGGAGCCAGUGCCCCAUCCAACUCUUGAUUUCCUGGAAAGUGAUCAGUGGUAGUGUGGGUACCACUGGCCAUGAUGGAGCUGAAGAUUGAGUGAACAUUACAGGAACCUGGAAAGGGGCAUUUUUUUCCUUCUGUACCCAAGAGAAUAAGCCGAGAGGGAGAAAUACUGUAUUAAUAAAUAGUGUUUCCUUGU
Molecule: long non-coding RNA, 2744 nt
Organism: Nannospalax galili (Upper Galilee mountains blind mole rat)
Lineage: Eukaryota; Metazoa; Chordata; Mammalia; Rodentia; Spalacidae
Exons: 3
Source: RefSeq, a predicted model, not a curated record